This 918-nucleotide ribosomal RNA is filed under the name uncultured archaeon. RNAcentral's name for it is "bacterial SSU rRNA". It matches the Rfam family "Archaeal small subunit ribosomal RNA", at positions 1 to 922 of the family's 1478-position model. The record is from RNAcentral.
UUCCGGUUGAUCCUGCCGGAGACUACUGCUCUUGGGGUUCGAUUAAGCCAUGCAUGUCCAAGGAGUCUUCGGAUUCCUGGCAAAGAGCUCAGUAACACGUGGACAACCUGCCCUCUGGAGGGGGAUAACCUCGGGAAACUGAGGACAAUACCCCAUAGGCGACGAGUACUGGAAUGUCCGUCACCCAAACGAAUUUCGCCAGAGGAUGGGUCUGCGGCGGAUUAGGUUGAUGGUGGGGGUAACGGCCCCCCAUGCCAGCGAUCCGUACCGGCCAUGAGAGUGGGAGCCGGGAGAUGGAUACUGAGACAAAGAUCCAGGUUCUACGGAACGCAGCAGGCGCGAAAACUUCGCAAUGCGCGAAAGCGUGACGAGGGGACCCCAAGUGUGGGCCGACAAGGUCUACUUUUUCCGAGUGUAAAUAGCUCGGGGAAUAAGGGCUGGGCAAGACUGGUGCCAGCCUCCGCGGUAACACCAGCAGCUCUAGUGGUAGUCGCUUUUAUUGGGCUUAAAGCGUUCGUAGUCUGUUUCGCAAGUCCUCUGUAAAAUCCUCCGGCUUAACCGGCAGGUGUGCAGAAGAUACUACGAGACUUGGAGCCGGGAAGGGCGAGGGGUAUUCCUGAGGUAGCGGUGAAAUGCUAUAAUCUUGGGAAGACUACCGGUGGCGAAGGCGCCUCGCUGGAACGGGCUCGACGAUGAGGGACGAGAGCUAGGGGAGCGAAUCGGAUUAGAUACCCGAGUAGUCCUAGCCGUAAACGAUGCGGACUUGGUGUUUCCUGAACCUCGAGUUCAGGAAGUGCUGGAGGGAAACUGUUAAGUCCGCCGCCUGGGGAGUACGGUCGCAAGACUGAAACUUAAAGGAAUUGGCGGGGGAGCACCACAAGGCGUGGAGUCUGCGGUUUAAUUGGAUUCAACGCCGGG